Molecule: ribosomal RNA, 497 nt
Filed under: uncultured bacterium
Lineage: Bacteria
Description: partial 16S ribosomal RNA
Rfam family: Bacterial small subunit ribosomal RNA
Source: RNAcentral
GAUGAAUGCUGGCGGCGUGCCUAAUACAUGCAAGUCGAGCGGACAGACGAGGAGCUUGCUCCUCUGACGUUAGCGGCGGACGGGUGAGUAACACGUGGAUAACCUACCUAUAAGACUGGGAUAACUUCGGGAAACCGGAGCUAAUACCGGAUAAUAUAUUGAACCGCAUGGUUCAAUAGUGAAAGACGGUUUUGCUGUCACUUAUAGAUGGAUCCGCGCCGCAUUAGCUAGUUGGUAAGGUAACGGCUUACCAAGGCAACGAUGCGUAGCCGACCUGAGAGGGUGAUCGGCCACACUGGAACUGAGACACGGUCCAGACUCCUACGGGAGGCAGCAGUAGGGAAUCUUCCGCAAUGGGCGAAAGCCUGACGGAGCAACGCCGCGUGAGUGAUGAAGGUCUUCGGAUCGUAAAACUCUGUUAUUAGGGAAGAACAAAUGUGUAAGUAACUAUGCACGUCUUGACGGUACCUAAUCAGAAAGCCACGGCUAACUACGUG